AAAUAAAGUGACCUUUUCCAUUGAGGGUGAUGCUAAUGCUGGUGACAUUUUCUUUGUAAAUCCACAAACUGGAGUGAUUACUCUGCUCAGUUCUGUGGAGAAUACAAAUCAGCUGCUGUAUAGGAUCCGUGUAGCUGCGACGGACGGAGGUGUGCCGUCACGGAUGGCCUACACGUACGUUGACGUAACGAUCCGCCGCGAGACGGGACAUCUGGCCUUCACGCUGCCGUCGUACAUUGUGAUCAUUAGUGAGAACACACAAGUGGGGCAGGCCAUCAUCACCACGCAGGCUCAACCAGGGCAAGCUUCCUAUAAGCUGCUGGGGGUUGACCCAGGACCUGUAUACUUCACAAUUGAUGAAUUCUCUGGCACCCUGUCUC
Molecule: long non-coding RNA, 380 nt
Organism: Gigantopelta aegis
Lineage: Eukaryota; Metazoa; Mollusca; Gastropoda; Neomphalida; Peltospiridae
Exons: 3
Source: RefSeq, a predicted model, not a curated record